This 274-nucleotide ribosomal RNA is filed under the name uncultured bacterium. RNAcentral describes it as "partial 16S ribosomal RNA". It matches the Rfam family "Bacterial small subunit ribosomal RNA", at positions 523 to 796 of the family's 1533-position model. The record is from RNAcentral.
AUACGGAGGGUGCAAGCGUUAAUCGGAAUUACUGGGCGUAAAGCGCGCGUAGGCGGUUUAGUAAGUCGGAUGUGAAAGCCCUGGGCUCAACCUGGGAAUGGCAUUCGAUACUGCUUGACUAGAGUAUGGUAGAGGGAAGUGGAAUUUCCGGUGUAGCGGUGAAAUGCGUAGAUAUCGGAAGGAACACCAGUGGCGAAGGCGACUUCCUGGGCCAAUACUGACGCUGAGGUGCGAAAGCGUGGGGAGCAAACAGGAUUAGAUACCCCAGUAGUCC